UUAACUAAAACAUAAUGUUCAGUGUGACUUUAAAAUUAAAUACCUGGGACAUAAUGUCUCGUGAGGCAGAUAUGCAGUGGAGUUAUUUAUAUGCUUACACUUCAACAUGUUAGCUUAUUGUAUUAUUGAAAACCAAAUCCACUCUGGGAGAUUCAAAGUGCUUCUAUUUGACUUCUUUUCAGAGAACUUCAUACUAAGUUCGAUACAUUCCCUUAUGAGGUCAUCUAAUCCCUUUCUCUUUCUUGUUAGCAUCAGUUAGUAUCACCCAACCCUGUCGUUGAGCAUCUAUGGGAAGAAAUAAUAGAACAUGUCUCUACUAUUGAAGAAUCUGUGAUCUGGAGGUAGGGCUUAUUGGGCCGAUGUAUGGCCCCAUUACAUAUGUAGUAGAAAAUGCACUCGCUGGGUUCUCAUCAGUAAGAAUCAGAAAUUGACUCCAUAUUUAGGGGAAAAAAAGCGGAGGGAGAAGAGGUUUAUGGAGGGUUGUUGGUGGCACGAGUGUUGGGAACAGUUGGCAUCAGAAGGAUGCACUUCUGUGCUGAAUCUGACCUUCAAACAUUCUCCCUGAAUUAGCACCGCUUGGCCAGCGCUCAUGGUACCAGGAACAAGUAUCUGACCUGUGAAGCCUGGAUUGCCGGCCUGCCUCAGGGGGCGGUGGUGAAACAACGCGGCCCCUUGACUUCUGCUAAUAGAGGAGGGAGGGUGUGGUGGCAGGUGUUGGACUUACCUUCUGCCAAGGCCUUGAAAGGUGGGAAAUGUUCCCAAACAGGAGAUGGAGGAACAAAUGGAACGGUGGGCGUUGAAGGCUGGAUAGCCAGCAACAAAACAGAGCUGCCCCUUGUUGACCCGGUAGCAAAAACAACCAACUAUGGAGAAAUGCUGAUAUAUAUUUUGCUUUAUGCCAUAUAGAAGGUGUUUUCAAGAGUUACCUUUGUAAGGAAUCCUAUGUCAGAUGCACUAGGAUACGACCUACACCAAGGAGCUCUUGGUGCCUCCUUUUACAAACUAGUGAUGUGAAACAUGGCCUCAGAUUGAUUUGAUGUGAGGGAGGAUUGCCUUGUAAUGGAUUGUUCUAAAGGAGAUUUAGCUGCAUAAGUAACCGCACCACUGGUGGGGAAGGCAGGUCUGAGUUUUGCCUUGAAGGCCCCUCCCCUUCAGUAAGUAGAUCCUGAUGGAAGAUUCCAUCACAGGCUCCAUAAUCUCACCAGACAAUUAUUCUUUAAGAACUGGGCACUCUGAGAUUCCCUUUUUUAUUUUGUAUUUUAUUUCACGUUUAUGCUAUUGCCUUCAUGGCUCCUUCAGGGCAGUGACUGAGCCUGAAUUGUUGUUUUUAAGGAUGGAUUCAAACUCCAUCACAGCUGGUAGUGUUUGCAGCAGCACAGGUGAUUUUCUUACUGUCAGUGUAGCAAGUUUUUUUUUUUUUUUUUUUUCCUUUAAAUUAACUGAGUGCCUGCCAUGAGGUCUCGCAGGCUCUUCAAGGUCCCGCUUCAGCUCUCAGGGCCUCCUGGGACACAGCCCGUGGCCCAUCCUCCUCUUUCCUGAAUUCCCCGGGGGACUCCGAGGUGAGGAUACUCAGACCUGACUUCGCGUGGUCUAGCUCUGUUCUCCGGUCCUGUCCUGUAAGAGGGCUACUCACCUUCUCCUCGGGUCCGGACUUCUGUGCUGCCUGACUGAACCUCAUCCGGUCUGGUUUACAGAGCAGUCGACACUAUGGAGUCCCGUCACUGUGUGGACACAGUGUGUGUGGCCUACUCGCCUCGCCUCCCUCUCUCCAUUCUCCUUUCAAGAAAAGUAAAGACUUUCAGUUCUGCAGCUUUUCCGGGCACCGCUGAGCAUCUGUGGACUUAGCUUUCUCCUUCCGCACUCAGCCGUCAGAGGGGCCUUUAACCAGGACGUUCAGAGUCCUGAAGAGACUCUGCCCAGUAAGUCACAGUGCCCAGAACCCUAGAGUUCGUUCACACCAGCAGGGCCCAGACCCGGGGAUUUCCUGGCCCAGCCAAAUUUCAAGGCCGUGUGAUUUAGAGAUGGGAUUUGCGGCACAGGGGUAAAGACGAGUGUAUCAACAAUAAAACAAAACCAGAAAACCAACCAAACUUCGAGGACAAGAUUUUGUCACAAAAUAGGUGGAAGAACAUUAUUUCAGAAUAAAGGAGGGUCACUGAACUUAAAUGCAUUUAAUCUGAUGAAGGAGUCAUGGGAUGGCCUUCAUUUUUGUCAUGUUGGGGGGAACGUAUUAUUGCCAAUGCCCUCAUUACACACCGUGCCGUGGGUGGUGCUGAAUGGAAGAAACCUGGCCCCAAACAGCGCCCUCUAGGCCUGAUGGAGAGACAGGACAAACACAGGUGACUGACAGAUGCAUGCACGACUCUGUCCCUGCUGUUGGCAAACUCAAAAUAGAGCUGGGAGAGCAGAGAAUCUUCUGAGAGGGUCUGGCUUGAAUGGAGAGCACAUGGAAAGCACACGGUUUGGUCUGUGCCAGCGAUGCAGGGAAAAUGCCACAUCCCCAGAGAAAUAGAGAAUACAAUCCUAGAAUUCUAAAUGGAACCACAAAGGAAUCUAAAUGGCCAAAGCAAUUGUGAGCAAGAAGCACAAAGAUGGAGGCAUUAUACUUCCUGACUUCAGAGGAUAUUACAAAGCUACAAUAUUCAAUACAGUAUGGUACUGGCAUAAAAAAACAGACACCUAGACCAAUGGAACAAAACAGGGAGCCUAGAAAUAAACUC
Molecule: long non-coding RNA, 2720 nt
Organism: Felis catus (domestic cat)
Lineage: Eukaryota; Metazoa; Chordata; Mammalia; Carnivora; Felidae
Exons: 4
Source: RefSeq, a predicted model, not a curated record